Molecule: ribosomal RNA, 497 nt
Filed under: uncultured bacterium
Lineage: Bacteria
Description: partial 16S ribosomal RNA
Rfam family: Bacterial small subunit ribosomal RNA
Source: RNAcentral
GAUGAACGCUGGCGGCGUGCCUAAUACAUGCAAGUCGAGCGAACAGACGAGGAGCUUGCUCCUCUGACGUUAGCGGCGGACGGGUGAGUAACACGUGGAUAACAUUCCUAUAAGACUGGGAUAACUUCGGGAAACCGGAGAUAAUACCGGAUAAUAUAUUGAACCGCAUGGAUCAAUAGUGAAAGACAGUUUUGCUGUCACUUAUAGAUGGAUCCGGGGGGCAUUGGGUAGUUGGUAAGGUAACGGCUUACCAAGGCAACGAUGCGUAGCCGACCUGAGAGGGUGAUCAGCCACACUGGAACUGAGACACGGUCCAGACUCCUACGGGAGGCAGCAGUAGGGAAUCUUCCGCAAUGGGCGAAAGCCUGACGGAGCAACGCCGCGUGAGUGAUGAAGGUCUUCGGAUCGUAAAACUCUGUUAUUAGGAAAGAACAAAUGUGUAAGUAACUAUGCACGUCUUGACGGUACCUAAUCAGAAAGCCACGGCUAACUACGUG